UACAGAGGUGGCAAGCGUUGUUCGGAAUUACUGGGCGUAAAGGGCGCGUAGGCGGCCUUCUAAGUCAGACGUGAAAUCCCCCGGCUUAACCUGGGAACUGCGUCUGAUACUGGGAGGCUUGAGUAUGGGAGAGGGAUGUAGAAUUCCAGGUGUAGCGGUGAAAUGCGUAGAUAUCUGGAGGAAUACCGGUGGCGAAGGCAGCUCGCUGGGACGUUACUGACACUGAGGCGCGAAAGCGUGGGGAGCGAACAGG
Molecule: ribosomal RNA, 253 nt
Filed under: uncultured bacterium
Lineage: Bacteria
Description: partial 16S ribosomal RNA
Rfam family: Bacterial small subunit ribosomal RNA
Source: RNAcentral